AUUGAACGCUGGCGGCAGGCCUAACACAUGCAAGUCGGGCGGUAACAGGGAGAAGCUUGCUUCUCUGCUGACGAGCGGCGGACGGGUGAGUAAUGUAUGGGGAUCUGCCUGAUGGGCGGGGAUAACUACUGGAAACGGUAGCUAAUACCGCAUAAUGUCUACGGACCAAAGCGGGGGACCUCCGGGCCUCGCGCCAUCAGAUGAACCCAUAUGGGAUUAGCUAGUAGGUAAGGUAACGGCUUACCUAGGCGACGAUCCCUAGCUGGGGUCUGAGAGGAUGAUCAGCCANACUGGGGACUGAGACACGGGCCCAGGACUCCUACGGGGAGCAGGCAGUGGGGGGAAUAUUGCACAAAUGGGGC
RNAcentral lists this ribosomal RNA (362 nucleotides) under uncultured Morganella. Its description in RNAcentral is "bacterial SSU rRNA". It matches the Rfam family "Bacterial small subunit ribosomal RNA", at positions 30 to 378 of the family's 1533-position model. The record is from RNAcentral. Lineage: Eukaryota; Fungi; Basidiomycota; Agaricomycetes; Agaricales; Lycoperdaceae.